Molecule: ribosomal RNA, 1050 nt
Filed under: Microbacterium hibisci
Lineage: Bacteria; Bacillati; Actinomycetota; Actinomycetes; Micrococcales; Microbacteriaceae
Description: bacterial SSU rRNA
Rfam family: Bacterial small subunit ribosomal RNA
Source: RNAcentral
UCCCCGCAUGAGGGAUGACGGCCUUAGGCUUGUAGACCUUUUUAUCAUCACGAGGGAAAUAUCGGUGCUUGCAGAGAAGAGCCGCGUAAUACUUGCAGCAGCAGCGCUAUAUGUAGAGGGGCGAGCGUUAUCCUUGAGUUAUUGGGCGUAAAGAGCUCGUAGAGGUGUGUCGUGUCUCUGUGAAAUAAUCGAGGGUCUCAUCUGGGGUGCAGCGGUGAUGGCAGACUAGAGUGUAUAGAGGAGAGAGAGUUCUUGGUGUAGCGAGGAAUGCGCAGAUAUCAGGAGGAGCACAGAUGGCGAAGGCAGAUCUCUGGGCUGCAUUGACGCUGAGGAGCGAGAGGGUGGGGAGCAGCACACAGGAGAGACCUGGUAGUCCACCCCGUAAACGUUGGGAAAUAGUUGUGGGGUCCUAUCCACGGAUUCCGUGACGCAGCUAACGCAUUAAGUUCCCCGCCUGGGGGAGUACGGUCCGCAAGGUUAAAACUCAAAGGAAUGGAGGGGGACCCGCCCAAGCGGGGGAGCAUGGGGAUUAAUUGGAUGCAACGGGAAGACCCUUCCCAAUGCUGGCCAUACGCGAGAGCACCCUAGAAAUAGGGGCCUUCAUGGACACUGGUGAACAGGCGGUGCAUGGUUGUCGUUAGUUAGUUUCGUUAGAGGUUGGGUUAAGUCCCUCAACGAGCGCAACCCUCCUUCUACGUUGCCAGCCAGCAAUGGUGGGGGCUCUUGGGAGGGUGCCGGGGUCAUAUCGGAGGAAGGUGGGGAGGACGUCAAAUCAUCAUGCCCCCCAUGUCGGGGGCUUCACGCAUGCUACAAUGGCCGGUACAAAGGGGUGCAAUGCCGCGAGGUGGAGGGAAUCCCAAAAAGCCGGUCUCAGUUCGGAUUGAGGUCUGCACCUCGACCUCACAAAGUCGGAGUCUCUAUUAAUAUCAGAUCAGCACCGCUGCGGGGAAAACGUUCCCGGGUCUUGUACCCCCCCCCCGUCAAGUCCGAAAAUCGGUAACACCUGAAACCGGUGGCCCAACCCUAAGGAGCAGCCGUCCACGUGGUUCC